ACAUAACUGAUGCCUCCGCGUAUCGACUUUGUGCGCAUUUUAGCUAUUAUGUGUUCUUUUAAUUAAAAUGAUUCUUUUUAAGAUUCAUCUAUUAAAAAUUUGCUUCGGCAUAAUUUUUUUUGAUGAUCUUGUUACUUUGAGUAAAUUAGAGUGUUCAAAGCGAACAGAUAUAGCAUUUGUGCGUUUGAAUACUACAGCAUGGAAUAACAAAAUUGAACAAGUCAGAAUUUUUUUGUUCUUUUUUCUUAUUUUGGCUUAGUUACGAUUAAUAGGAGUAGCUUGGGGGCAUUUGUAUUCAGAUGUCAGAGGUGAAAUUCUUAGAUUUUCUGGAGACAAACAACUGCGAAAGCAUUUGCCUAAAAUACUUCCAUUAAUCAAGAACGAAAGUUAAGGGAGUGAAGACGAUCAGAUACCGUCGUAAUCUUAACCAUAAACUAUGCCGACUAGGCUUUGGAUGGAAGAUUUUAAAAUAAGAGUUUUUCUUUUCUCUCCGGAGAUUAGAACUCUUAGAUUGCUUCCUUCAGUGCCUUAUGAGAAAUCAAAGUCUUUGGGUUCUGGGGCGAGUAUUCGCGCAAGCGAGAAAGUUAAAAGAAUUGACGGAAGGGCACCACCAGGCGUGGAGCUUGCGGCUUAAUUUGACUCAACACGGGAAAACUCACUAGUUUAAGACAAGAGUAGGAUUGACAGAUUAAUAGCUCUUUCUUGAUUUCUUGGAUGGUGAUGCAUGGCCGUUUUUAGUUCGUGAAUAUGAUUUGUCUGGUUAACUCCGAUAACGAACGAGAUCUUAACCUGCUAAUUAGCGGCAAAUACGAUAUAUUCUUAUGUAGAAUUGAAUAUAGUGGAUUUGUUAGAUUUUGAAGAAAAUAUUGGAAUUACGUUAAAUGUGAUUCCUUUCCCUUUUCUACUUAAUUUACAUUUCCAUCUAUUUCUUUUUUGCGUAUGAAUGUAUUUGCUUGAUUGUAAAGCUUCUUAGAGGAACGAUGUGUG
This 987-nucleotide ribosomal RNA is filed under the name Plasmodium knowlesi. RNAcentral describes it as "SSU rRNA". It matches the Rfam family "Eukaryotic small subunit ribosomal RNA", at positions 638 to 1428 of the family's 1831-position model. The record is from RNAcentral. Lineage: Eukaryota; Apicomplexa; Aconoidasida; Haemosporida; Plasmodiidae.